RNAcentral lists this transfer RNA (85 nucleotides) under Tenericutes bacterium HGW-Tenericutes-1. RNAcentral describes it as "tRNA-Leu". It matches the Rfam family "tRNA". Rfam says of the family: Transfer RNA (tRNA) molecules are approximately 80 nucleotides in length. The record is from RNAcentral. Lineage: Bacteria; Bacillati; Mycoplasmatota.
GCGGUCGUGGCGAAACUGGCAGACGCGCUACUUUGAGGGGGUAGUGCCGAAAGGCGUGUGGGUUCAAAUCCCAUCGACCGCACCA